Molecule: ribosomal RNA, 222 nt
Filed under: uncultured bacterium
Lineage: Bacteria
Description: partial 16S ribosomal RNA
Rfam family: Bacterial small subunit ribosomal RNA
Source: RNAcentral
GAUCAUGGCUCAGGAUGAACGCUGGCGGCGUGCCUAACACAUGCAAGUCGAGCGAAGCAAUCGAGAUGAAGUUUUCGGAUGGAUUCCUGAUUGACUGAGCGGCGGACGGGUGAGUAACGCGUGGGUAACCUGCCUCAUACAGGGGGAUAACAGUUAGAAAUGACUGCUAAUACCGCAUAAGCGCACAGUACCACAUGGUACCGUGUGAAAAACUCCGGUGGU